Dromaius novaehollandiae (emu) is the source of this 974-nucleotide long non-coding RNA. RefSeq lists it as uncharacterized. The transcript has 2 exons. The record is from RefSeq and is a predicted model, not a curated record. Lineage: Eukaryota; Metazoa; Chordata; Aves; Casuariiformes; Dromaiidae.
CUAGGGGGAACAGCCCCAAAGAGGAGCCUGUUAAGCUCCAAGAUGAAUUUUGAUUCAAAAAGCAGACCUGGAACUAGCCAGUCCCAUUUCAUGCUGCAGCCAGGAAGGUGACUGAGAGCUAACUACUGUUAACCUUUUUGUUAACAGAGGAAGAAAUAGUACUGGAUGGAAACAGCAUCAUUGCUGUAGGAUUUGAUUUCCUAAAAGCAAAGCUGAAGAACUAGAUAUAGAGGAGGACCCAAAUGUUCCUGGAAGUGGUAGCCAACGCUGCUUUAAACUGCUGCAAGAAGAACUCUACUGGGAGGGAGAGAAGAAUCAUACUGGUGAAAUGUCAGAAAUAUAUCUUCUUCAUUAGCUCAGAGGUGUGUAUAUUACGUGGAUUUUAUUUAAAAAGAUUAAGGAAAAAAAUCUAGCUUAUCUAUGUGAAGAUACAAAUCCAAAACACCAUUUUUCUGGACAACCUACUCCGGUAUUUAAUUUUUCUCACAAUGAAGAAUUGUUUUGUCUUAUAUCCAGACAGAAUUUCCCCUGAAGCAACUCAUGCCUGGAGCAUCUUGUCCUGUUACCAUGCAGCCUUGGAAAGAGAGUACCUCUAUCUUCUCCGUAACUACCUUUUAGAUACUGUUAGACUGUGCUUACAUCCCAAGCCUUCUCUUCUCUAGGCUGCACAAACCCAGUUCCUUCAACCUUUAUUUGUAUGUCAAGUUCUUCGACCCUUUAAUCAUCUUGAUGGCCCUCUGCUUAACUCUCUUCAAUCUUUCCAUGUCUCUGUUGAACUGGGGAGGACCAACCCGGGACACAGUAUUUCACGUGUGGUCUUACAAGUGCUGACCAGAGUGGGACAAUCACACCCCUCGCCCUGCUGGCUAUCCUCUUGCUGAUGCAGCCCAGGACCUGGCUUGCCCUCACUGCUGCCAGAGCACACUGCUGGCUCGCGUUCAGCCAGCUGCCCACCCCGACCUCCAGCUCCUCCU